CCUACGGGGGGCAGCAGUGAGGAAUAUUGGUCAAUGGGCGCGAGCCUGAACCAGCCAAGUAGCGUGAAGGAUGACUGCCCUACGGGUUGUAAACUUCUUUUAUAAAGGAAUAAAGUGAGGCACGUGGGCCUUUUUGGAUGUACUUUAUGAAUAAGGAUCGGCUAACUCCGUGCCAGCAGCCGCGGUAAUACGGAGGAUCCGAGCGUUAUCCGGAUUUAUUGGGUUUAACGGGAGCGUAGAUGGGUUGUUAAGUCAGUUGUGCAAGUUUGCGGCUCAACCGUAAAAUUGCAAUUGAUACUGGCAGCCUUUAGUACAGUUGCGGUAGGCGGACUUCGUGGUGUCGCGG
Molecule: ribosomal RNA, 346 nt
Filed under: uncultured bacterium
Lineage: Bacteria
Description: partial 16S ribosomal RNA
Rfam family: Bacterial small subunit ribosomal RNA
Source: RNAcentral